This 2364-nucleotide long non-coding RNA is filed under the name Bemisia tabaci. Its description in RNAcentral is "lncRNA ENSASIAIIG010708". The record is from RNAcentral. Lineage: Eukaryota; Metazoa; Arthropoda; Insecta; Hemiptera; Aleyrodidae.
UUAAUCGAUUAAUUAAUCGAUAAUCGAAAACCUCUAUAAAUUCAUCCGUCAGAAGUCAGAACUAAUAUCCGUAUUUUGCGUAUUCCGUAUUCUCAAUUUAAAAAUCUUCAGUUCAAAUUCAGUCACGUUCGUACUAUUAAUCUUCUAAAAUGUGUUCAUUUUCAUUACAAAUUGUGUCUCAGUCUCAUUUCCCAGUAGUCUGCCGUUUUCACCGGUGGUUUUCGUCUUUUUCUGUGGUUUUAUCCUGAGAAGUGAUUGGCAUGAGUUUCAGCUAGAACAUGUACAGUAAGGCCUCACUCCCUGAAAUUAUUGACUAUUAUUUAACUCUGAAAGAAUCAUGUGACUGAUUUUUAUUUCACAUUCAACUCAUGAAGAAAGUUAGAUAGAACGCCUGUGGACUAUCUUCUUAUAUUAGUUGUUUCAGUCAGUUUCGCUUUCUUUGCUAAACCAUGUUUCUGCUAAUUUACACUAACUCAACGAACUGCUAACAACCUAACAAUAACAUUAUACUAUGAGUAGAUUCCUGCUGGGAUUUUAAAUCAAGUAAAUACCUCUCAUCUCUGGUUUGCUUACGGGUGUAGUCAUGGCAGGAAGAAAGAACAAGUCGGUGGAUAGUUUCUACUUCAAACACCUCGCAAUGAAAGAUUUUCAGAAAUGACCAAGCAAGAGCAGCUUAUUGCACAGAAAAAGCUUGAAAUCCAGAGGAAGUUAGAAGAAAGGAAGCGUUCAGAGACAGCUGAAGCAUUAAAGAAACUCAAUGAGCCGCCUGCCCAGAAACCAAAAGCCACCUCUCCUAUCGUAGGCUCCAGGAAAUUAACUAACCAAAGCUGCUCUACAAAUGCCUCCAGCAAUAUCUUUUCUAAUGAUGGAAGUUUCCUGGAACAGUUCAAGAAGAUGGUCAAUGAAAAUGUUGAUAAAGAAAAAGACGUAAAAUCUACAGAGAAAAGUAAUGGCCCACAAAAUACAUCAGAUGGAAUCAUUGAAGAUAAUCUGAGCCAACCUAUGGGAGAAUCUCCAUCAAAAGACUACGUUGAGGAACGUAAUCCCAAAAAGCCCAAUGAUCACAAUAAUAAGUAUGAUGACUACAGAAGAAAUGAUUAUCGAUGGAGUGAAAAUCGGCGGAAUGAUGAAAACAAAAAAAGUGAUGACUUCAAAAGAGAUGACAAAUUCAGAAGAAAUGAUGAUUGCUGGCGGGCAGAUGACAAUAGGCGUAAUGAUAGAAACUAUGAUCAUGGAGAUCGCCGGAGGAGGUUUGAAAAUGAUCGCCUUGAUAACAGAAAUCGCAGAUAUGAUCGGGAUCGAAUGAGACAUGAUAGCGACAGAGACAGGCGGUAUGAUAAUUAUGAUGACUACAAUCACAGUAGACGCUAUGAUCGAUAUGAUUCCCAGAAAAAUUAUUAUGAUGAUAAUGAUCAGUCAAGAAGAAAUAGUUGGGACAACUCGCCCUCUUUUAAUGAAAAUAAAUAUAGCUGCAAUAACUCAGAACGAAUUGAAAGAAAUGUUCCACCAUGGGAAUCUAAUGCCUUAAAGAAUCAGCAACAACAACAAUCUCUAGCUAAUUCUUCCAUUAUUCAGUAUCAGCCAACCAUGACGGUUCCUGUAUCAUCUAUUAUUUUAUCAUCUACUGUGCCUGUACCUGUUUCAAUAACAACCUAUGUUUCUAGUUUGCCUGUCACACUUCCGACUGAUUCAGUAACGUAUCCAUCUGUCCAAAUUCAGCCUGAUACAACUGUACCUGUUAUUACACAACAAAUUCCAAUCCAACAGCAGCCAAGUCUCAUUUUACAGCCAAUAAAUCAGCAGCAGGUUUCCAUCAAUCAGCCUUCAUCUGGCGCAUCUAUAGCACUAUCACAAACUCCAACCUUAGCUCAUGUAGCUCAGCCAGCUUCCAUGACACAUGUACCGCAGCCCUCUACCCUGAUAACGGUACCGCAGUCUUGCCCAGUGUCCUCUAUGCAGCAGUCCUCAACACUGACCCCUGUCCCUCCACCUGUAUUAAAUGCAGCAACUCCCUCUAUGAAUACCCUCUCUGUGCAACCUGGUACGCAAGUUGUCCAGCAGUGUCAGGGCACAAUUAUUUCCCAGCCACCCCCUCUGUCCCAAACAUCUGUUCAGCCCUCCUCUUUGCUUCCUCAAACUUCAAUGCAAAUCCAGCAGUUCUCCACUUCAAAUUCUAUCUUAUCUCAUUCCAUCCCUCCAUCCAACAAUAUUAAUCCUCAUCCUGUACCUCCUCCCUCUCCUCUAAACCCACACUCAUUACCCCCUCCUUCAUCUCUGAACCCAAACCCUCAUGCUGUUCCUCCACCAUCAUCUAUGAAUUCUCAUUCUGCACCCCCACCCUCAUCUCUGAAUCCUCACCCUCAU